AACGAACGCUGGCGGCAUGCCUAACACAUGCAAGUCGAACGAGAUCUUCGGGUCUAGUGGCGCACGGGUGCGUAACGCGUGGGAAUCUGCCCUUUGGUUCGGAAUAACAGUUGGAAACGACUGCUAAUACCGGAUGAUGACAAAAGUCCAAAGAUUUAUCGCCAGAGGAUGAGCCCGCGUAGGAUUAGCUAGUUGGUGUGGUAAAGGCGCACCAAGGCGACGGUCCUUAGCUGGUCUGAGAGGAUGAUCAGCUACACUGGGACUGAGACACGGCCCAGACUCCUACGGGAGGCAGCAGUGGGGAAUAUUGGACAAUGGGCGGAAGCUUGAUCCAGCAAUGCCGCGUGAGUGAUGAAGGCCUUAGGGUUGUAAAGCUCUUUUACCCGGGAUGAUAAUGACAGUACCGGGAGAAUAAGCUCCGGCUAACUCCGUGCCAGCCGCCGCAGUAA
RNAcentral lists this ribosomal RNA (449 nucleotides) under uncultured bacterium. Its description in RNAcentral is "partial 16S ribosomal RNA". It matches the Rfam family "Bacterial small subunit ribosomal RNA", at positions 29 to 523 of the family's 1533-position model. The record is from RNAcentral.